This 89-nucleotide transfer RNA is filed under the name Hypholoma sublateritium FD-334 SS-4. It matches the Rfam family "tRNA". From Rfam's summary of the family: Transfer RNA (tRNA) molecules are approximately 80 nucleotides in length. Their secondary structure includes four short double-helical elements and three loops (D, anti-codon, and T loops). The record is from Rfam by way of RNAcentral. Lineage: Eukaryota; Fungi; Basidiomycota; Agaricomycetes; Agaricales; Strophariaceae.
GGGCACAUGGUGUAGUUGGUUAUCACGCUCGCUUAGCACAAAUUGAGGUGGUUUGCGAGAGGUGUUGGGUUCAAUUCCCAAUGCGUCCA